This 748-nucleotide long non-coding RNA is filed under the name Musa acuminata (dwarf banana). RNAcentral describes it as "long non-coding RNA (MACU_LNC006526)". Lineage: Eukaryota; Viridiplantae; Streptophyta; Magnoliopsida; Zingiberales; Musaceae. The record is from RNAcentral.
CUCCCCUGCUCUGUUUCCUCUCCUUCUCUUCCAACUGCAGCUGCCACUGCCGCAGCUGCCUCCCCUUCUCCUCUUCCUCUCUUCUUCCCUUUUCCUUUCUUUUCUUCUUCCUUUCCUUCUCUUCUUUCCCAGCUGCACUACUGCAGUCGCAGCCUCAGCCAUGGCUGCAGCCUCUUCUUCCUCCCCUACUCAUCUUCCUCUCCUUCUUCUCUUCCAACUGCAACUGCCAUCACCGUAGCCGCAGCCCCUUCUUCCCCUUCUCUUCUUCCUCUCCUUCCCUUCUUCCUUCCUCUUCCUCGUUCCCUGCCACAGCCGCAGCCGCAGCUACUUUCCCUUCUCCUCUUCCUUCUCCUUCCUUUCUUCUUCUUCUCUUCUUCUCCUUCCUCCCCUUCUUCUCCCCGACGAACAGCACCUCCUCUCCUCUGUUUCCUCCUGCAGGAAAUAGAGGUGUCGCCUCUUUACCCGCUUCUACUUCUUCUCUUCCUCUUCUUCUUCUUCUCCUUCUUCUCCUUCUUCUUCUCCUCUUCUUCCCUUCUCCUACCCGACACCCCACACCUUCUCACUGCAGCCCAUGCCGCAGCCAUCCUUCUUUUUUUUCUUUUUCUCUUCUUCUUUUUCUUCUUCUUCUUCUGUUGGGAAAAACCUGUUAAAGCGGAAUAUUCUUUUCCCUCUUUGUGUAUCAAAAUGAGUUUCUCAUCAAAAUACCAACUUGAUAUCUAAAUGAAAAUAUCAACCAGCAUAGCAUAAA